Molecule: ribosomal RNA, 234 nt
Filed under: uncultured bacterium
Lineage: Bacteria
Description: partial 16S ribosomal RNA
Rfam family: Bacterial small subunit ribosomal RNA
Source: RNAcentral
AGGCGGACGGGUGAGGAACGCUUGGGAAUCUGCCCAUCAGCGGGGACAACCCGGGGAAACCCGGGCUAAUACCGCAUACGCUCUAUGGAGGAAAGCCGGGGGCCGCAAGGCCUGGCACUGAUGGAUGAGCCCAAGUCGGAUUAGCUAGUUGGCGGGGUAACGGCCCACCAAGGCGACGAUCCGUAGCUGGUCUGAGAGGGCGAUCAGCCACACUGGAACUGAGACACGGUCCAG